CUUCCGUAGGUGAACCUGCGGAGGGAUCAUUACCGAGUUUACAACUCCCAAACCCCUGUGAACAUACCAAUUGUUGCCUCGGCGGAUCAGCCCGCUCCCGGUAAAACGGGACGGCCCGCCAGAGGACCCCUAAACUCUGUUUCUAUAUGUAACUUCUGAGUAAAACCAUAAAUAAAUCAAAACUUUCAACAACGGAUCUCUUGGUUCUGGCAUCGAUGAAGAACGCAGCAAAAUGCGAUAAGUAAUGUGAAUUGCAGAAUUCAGUGAAUCAUCGAAUCUUUGAACGCACAUUGCGCCCGCCAGUAUUCUGGCGGGCAUGCCUGUUCGAGCGUCAUUUCAACCCUCAAGCCCCCGGGUUUGGUGUUGGGGAUCGGCGAGCCCUUGCGGCAAGCCGGCCCCGAAAUCUAGUGGCGGUCUCGCUGCAGCUUCCAUUGCGUAGUAGUAAAACCCUCGCAACUGGUACGCGGCGCGGCCAAGCCGUUAAACCCCCAACUUCUGAAUGUUGACCUCGGAUCAGGUAGGAAUACCCGCUGAACUUAAGCAUAUCAAUAAGCGGAGG
This 559-nucleotide ribosomal RNA is filed under the name Fusarium sp. AJZ3. RNAcentral describes it as "eukaryotic LSU rRNA". The stretch from base 181 to 334 matches the Rfam family "5.8S ribosomal RNA". The record is from RNAcentral. Lineage: Eukaryota; Fungi; Ascomycota; Sordariomycetes; Hypocreales; Nectriaceae.